Molecule: ribosomal RNA, 121 nt
Organism: Colobus angolensis palliatus
Lineage: Eukaryota; Metazoa; Chordata; Mammalia; Primates; Cercopithecidae
Source: Ensembl
GUCUAUGGCCAUACCACACUGAAUGUUGCCUGAUCUCAUGUGAUUUCAAAAGCUAAGCAGGGGCGGGCCUGGUUAGUAAUUGGAUGAGAGAAAUGCUGAUGUAGCGAGUCUGAGGUAGGAC